AGCUCCAAUAGCGUAUAUUAAAGUUGCUGCAGUUAAAAAGCUCGUAGUUGCAUUUCCGAGGCAAGGGAUUAGUCCGACCUUUGGUGGGUAUUUAAUCCUCUUGCCUCGUCCUUGAGUGGUGCUUCUUGGUAUUAAGUUAUCGAGGAGAUAGCCGCUCAUCGUUUACUGUGAGAAAAUUAGAGUGUUCAAAGCAGGCUUAUGCCGUUGAAUAUAUUAGCAUGGAAUAAUAAGAUAGGGCCUCGGGACUAUUUUGUUGGUUUGAGAACCAAGGUAAUGAUGAAUAGGGACAGUUGGGGGUAUUCGUAUUCAGUUGUCAGAGGUGAAAUUCUUAGAUUUACGGAAGACGAACUACUGCGAAAGCAUUUACCAAGGAUGUUUUCA
This 381-nucleotide ribosomal RNA is filed under the name uncultured marine Chaetocerotaceae. RNAcentral describes it as "SSU rRNA". It matches the Rfam family "Eukaryotic small subunit ribosomal RNA", at positions 587 to 972 of the family's 1831-position model. The record is from RNAcentral. Lineage: Eukaryota; Bacillariophyta; Thalassiosirophyceae; Chaetocerotales; Chaetocerotaceae.